AUAUUUUUUCGAUUAAUAAUAAAUGGCUUUUAAAUCUGUUCUUAUCAGCUUAAUAUCUGAUACGGCUUCCAUCGGAGGCCAUGAUAUUAAACUGAUUUUUGGAAGGCGGCGGAGUGCUCGGAGCUUGCUCCACCUCUGCCACGGGUUGACCCGGUAUUGCAGUACCUCCGGGAAUGGCCCACUCCCC
Molecule: small nuclear RNA, 187 nt
Organism: Centruroides sculpturatus (bark scorpion)
Lineage: Eukaryota; Metazoa; Arthropoda; Arachnida; Scorpiones; Buthidae
Product: U2 spliceosomal RNA
Exons: 1
Source: RefSeq, a predicted model, not a curated record